GGCACUGCGAGGUCCGAGGGACUCAUUCUGAUGAAGGAAAGAGCAUCCCUGUGCAGCUGCGUGUCCUUCAUUUCUUUGGCUCUGAUUCCGUGUCUGGCUUCAUCUAAGUGGCCUGGUCCAUGGGCAGUGAAGAAAUGUAAAGUGCAAUAGCCCUCUGAAACAAGACAAUCCGUGUGAGAUAAGAAAGAAGAGCCCACAAGACCAAGGAUGUAUUCUCAGUUUACAGACCACUGACCAGAGGCCACUCCAGGGUGUCAGGACUAAGAGAAGUCACAAAACAGCAGAUUUCCCAAGAGCAGCAGAAAAUGAUCCAGUCACAGGUGGGUUAUCGGUUUAUCCUCUGUUUCAUGAAAAUGAUCCAGUCACAGGUGGGUUAUUGGUUUAUCCUCUGUUUCAUGAAAAUGAUCCAGUCACAGGUGGGUUAUCGGUUUAUCCUCUGUUUCGUGGGUGUUACGAGGCUUACAGAAAUCUCUGCAACACACAGAAGGGUCUAAAUACAUUUAAAUAAGAGAAAAUAUAAACUUGGGAAAGAAGAUGUCCAAAGAAGCACAAAGUAGAUUAUAGAAACAUACAAAAGUCUCAGCUGGGCAUGGUGGCUCAUGCCUGUAAUCCCAGCCCUUUGGGAGGCCAAGGAGGGCAGAUCAUUUGAGGUCAGGAGUUUGAGACCAGCCUGGCCAACAUGGCAAAACCCCGUCUCUACUGAAAAUACAAAAAUUAGCCUCCCAGCUACUCGGGAGGCUGAGGCAUGAGAAUCACUUGAACCCAGGAGAUGGAGGCUGCAGUGAGCUGAGAUCGCAUCAGUGCACUCCAGCCAGGGUGACAAAGUGAGAAAAAGAAUCAUACAAAAGUCUUAAAGUUGGAAGAGAUCAAUAAGAAAUGGGAUCCUUCCCUGUUACAGAGUUGAACUGCAAGCUUUUCUGUUAUUUCCAGAAGCCAUAACAGAAAGGGAAGUAGGAAUAGUUAACGUGGGUUCCUCUUGUCAAAAGGAAAAAGCAGACAGAUUACUCUGGAGAAGCAAAUACUUCCGAUAAUUACACAUAAAGAAAA
This 1047-nucleotide small RNA is filed under the name Pan troglodytes (chimpanzee). Its description in RNAcentral is "retained intron". The record is from RNAcentral. Lineage: Eukaryota; Metazoa; Chordata; Mammalia; Primates; Hominidae.